Molecule: long non-coding RNA, 1291 nt
Filed under: Macaca fascicularis (crab-eating macaque)
Lineage: Eukaryota; Metazoa; Chordata; Mammalia; Primates; Cercopithecidae
Description: lncRNA (ENSMFAG00000061985.1)
Source: RNAcentral
GCAAGCUAUUUGUAUAGAAACAAUAUAGAUCUUUUUCCUCUUGCAGUUUCCUAGUACCAGUUAUUUUGUGCUGAUUACAUGCAUGACAUCAUCCAUCAUGCUGCCUGUGAAUGCUGGUUUCCAGUGAUUCUCUCAGAGGUUGUUAUGGUGCUUCCUUGAUGACCACAAGUGCACCUGUUACCCAGGGCAUGCAGGAAAAUGUGAGCAACAAUCUGAUUUUCUGCUCAUGUUAAAUUUAUUGUUCAGACUUUUGUACCACAAAUGUAAAUUAACACAUAUUCCAAUCAUGUCUUCUUUUGAAUUCUCGAGGCUAUAAUCAUUGCACUCCUAGAAUGGCAUCUCUUUUAAUGUUGGACACACUCCUGCCUCCCACAGUGCUUUCUGUAGGGAAGAGAGGAAAGGAACCUCUAGGCUUGGCAGGAAAAGUAUAAUCCCAUUCAUCCAAGAAAUAUCUAUCAUCUCUCAGACCUUAAGACCAACCUGGGAGAGUACAGCAUCACCAUAUCAAUCAAAUAGAGGCAACGCUGUGCAGCAACAGCCUCAGAAACUCUCAGAAGAAACAGGACUGGGGUCACCCCAGAGGACUUCCUGACAUGUGUUAUCCUAGCGUGUAAAAGGUGUGGCAUGACCAUCUUCGGUGCCCAUGGCCUGGGGCUGGUAGUAAAAGAUUCUGUUAAUACUCUCAUUACUCUUGGGUGCUAGAGACCAGAGAUGGCACUGCAAGGUAACAAGUGAAAAUGCACAAGCCCAUGUAUAUCACACUGCUUCCCUCCUGGAACAGGGGCCCAUCCACAGGGCCCCAGAACAACCCCACAGAAGCAUGAUUCAGAGUUCCUUGGGGCAACUGGUUGACCACGUAUGUCAGGUAGAGUUGCAGGGAACACUCUGAAGAAGCAAAACGAGGACCAGGAACCAUGUGGGCUGGGGUGGCCUGUCUGGAUGCCACUGAAAGAGCUGCCAGUCCCAGGUACUGGAGAGGACUUAGAAAAUGUCGAGGAGUGGGCCAAAUGUAGCAGCUCAUGCCUGUAAUCCCAGCACUUUGGGAGGCUGAGGCAGGGGGAUCACUUGAGCUCAGGAGUUUGAGACCAGCCCAGGCAACAUAGUGAGACCUUGUCUCUACAAGAAAUGAAAAAUUAGUUGGGCAUGGUGACAUAUGCUGUAGUCGGAGCUACUUGAGAGGCUGGGACAGGAGGAUCACUUGAGCCCAGGAGAUUGUGGCUGCAGUGAGCUAUAAUUGCGCCACUCCACUCCAGCCUGGGUGACAGAGUGAGACCUUAUCUCAAAAAAAAAA